Molecule: ribosomal RNA, 442 nt
Filed under: uncultured bacterium
Lineage: Bacteria
Description: partial 16S ribosomal RNA
Rfam family: Bacterial small subunit ribosomal RNA
Source: RNAcentral
CCUACGGGAGACUGCAGUAGGGAAUCUUUCACAAUGGGCGAAAGCCUGAUGGAGCAACGCCGCGUGCAGGAUGAAGGCCUUCGGGUUGUAAACUGCUUUUAUAAGCGAGAAAUAUGAUGGUAACUUAUGAAUAGGGAUCGGCUAACUACGUGCCAGCAGCCGCGGUCAUACGUAGGAUCCGAGCAUUAUCCGGAGUGACUGGGUGUAAAGAGUUGCGUAGGUGGCAUAAUAAGUAGCUAGUGAAAUCUGGUGGCUCAACCAUUCAGACUAUUAGCUAAACUGUUAAGCUCGAGACCGUUAGGGGUAACUGGAAUUUCUAGUGUAGGAGUGAAAUCCGUAGAUAUUAGAAGGAACACCAGUAGCGUAGGCAGGUUGCUGGGACGGUUCUGACACUAAGGCACGAAAGCGUAGGGAGCAAACGGGAUUAGAUACCCUUGUAGUC